AUUUUCCUACAGGCUCGAUUCGAAUUCAUUUGUGAAUCUUGUAAAAGCUCUUUUUCAGUAUUUACACUUACUUUGGCCAAAAAUUUUCUGAACUCAAUCUCACGAAUUGCAUAGGACUUCUCUUUUUCUAUCAAAGUCGAUAGAUUCCAUCUAGAUGCAUCCUACUCCAAACAGCAAAUCUGAACAUACUGAAGCCAACAUGCAC
This 205-nucleotide long non-coding RNA is filed under the name Elaeis guineensis (African oil palm). RNAcentral's name for it is "long non-coding RNA (EGUI_LNC040356)". Lineage: Eukaryota; Viridiplantae; Streptophyta; Magnoliopsida; Arecales; Arecaceae. The record is from RNAcentral.